RNAcentral lists this ribosomal RNA (2712 nucleotides) under Klebsiella pneumoniae. RNAcentral describes it as "partial 23S ribosomal RNA". It matches the Rfam family "Bacterial large subunit ribosomal RNA". Lineage: Bacteria; Pseudomonadati; Pseudomonadota; Gammaproteobacteria; Enterobacterales; Enterobacteriaceae. The record is from RNAcentral.
CCGGCGAUGUCCGAAUGGGGAAACCCAGUGCAAUUCGUUGCACUAUCGUUAACUGAAUACAUAGGUUAACGAGGCGAACCGGGGGAACUGAAACAUCUAAGUACCCCGAGGAAAAGAAAUCAACCGAGAUUCCCCCAGUAGCGGCGAGCGAACGGGGAGCAGCCCAGAGUCUGAAUCAGCUUGUGUGUUAGUGGAACGGUCUGGAAAGUCCGACGGUACAGGGUGAUAGUCCCGUACACCAAAAUGCACAGGUUGUGAACUCGAAGAGUAGGGCGGGACACGUGGUAUCCUGUCUGAAUAUGGGGGGACCAUCCUCCAAGGCUAAAUACUCCUGACUGACCGAUAGUGAACCAGUACCGUGAGGGAAAGGCGAAAAGAACCCCGGCGAGGGGAGUGAAAAAGAACCUGAAACCGUGUACGUACAAGCAGUGGGAGCACCUUCGGGUGUGACUGCGUACCUUUUGUAUAAUGGGUCAGCGACUUAUAUUCUGUAGCAAGGUUAACCGUAUAGGGGAGCCGCAGGGAAACCGAGUCUUAACUGGGCGUUAAGUUGCAGGGUAUAGACCCGAAACCCGGUGAUCUAGCCAUGGGCAGGUUGAAGGUUGGGUAACACUAACUGGAGGACCGAACCGACUAAUGUUGAAAAAUUAGCGGAUGACUUGUGGCUGGGGGUGAAAGGCCAAUCAAACCGGGAGAUAGCUGGUUCUCCCCGAAAGCUAUUUAGGUAGCGCCUCGUGAAUUCAUCUUCGGGGGUAGAGCACUGUUUCGGCUAGGGGGUCAUCCCGACUUACCAACCCGAUGCAAACUACGAAUACCGAAGAAUGUUAUCACGGGAGACACACGGCGGGUGCUAACGUCCGUCGUGAAGAGGGAAACAACCCAGACCGCCAGCUAAGGUCCCAAAGUCAUGGUUAAGUGGGAAACGAUGUGGGAAGGCACAGACAGCCAGGAUGUUGGCUUAGAAGCAGCCAUCAUUUAAAGAAAGCGUAAUAGCUCACUGGUCGAGUCGGCCUGCGCGGAAGAUGUAACGGGGCUAAACCAUGCACCGAAGCUGCGGCAGCGACACUAUGUGUUGUUGGGUAGGGGAGCGUUCUGUAAGCCUGCGAAGGUGUGCUGUGAGGCAUGCUGGAGGUAUCAGAAGUGCGAAUGCUGACAUAAGUAACGAUAAAGCGGGUGAAAAGCCCGCUCGCCGGAAGACCAAGGGUUCCUGUCCAACGUUAAUCGGGGCAGGGUGAGUCGACCCCUAAGGCGAGGCCGAAAGGCGUAGUCGAUGGGAAACAGGUUAAUAUUCCUGUACUUGGUGUUACUGCGAAGGGGGGACGGAGAAGGCUAUGUUAGCCGGGCGACGGUUGUCCCGGUUUAAGCAUGUAGGCUGAUUGUCCAGGCAAAUCCGGAUAAUCAAGGCUGAGGUGUGAUGACGAGGCACUACGGUGCUGAAGUAACAAAUGCCCUGCUUCCAGGAAAAGCCUCUAAGCAUCAGGUAACAUUAAAUCGUACCCCAAACCGACACAGGUGGUCAGGUAGAGAAUACCAAGGCGCUUGAGAGAACUCGGGUGAAGGAACUAGGCAAAAUGGUGCCGUAACUUCGGGAGAAGGCACGCUGGUGUGUAGGUGAAGUCCCUGCGGAUGGAGCUGAGACCAGUCGAAGAUACCAGCUGGCUGCAACUGUUUAUUAAAAACACAGCACUGUGCAAACACGAAAGUGGACGUAUACGGUGUGACGCCUGCCCGGUGCCGGAAGGUUAAUUGAUGGGGUUAUCCGUAAGGAGAAGCUCUUGAUCGAAGCCCCGGUAAACGGCGGCCGUAACUAUAACGGUCCUAAGGUAGCGAAAUUCCUUGUCGGGUAAGUUCCGACCUGCACGAAUGGCGUAAUGAUGGCCAGGCUGUCUCCACCCGAGACUCAGUGAAAUUGAACUCGCUGUGAAGAUGCAGUGUACCCGCGGCAAGACGGAAAGACCCCGUGAACCUUUACUAUAGCUUGACACUGAACAUUGAGCCUUGAUGUGUAGGAUAGGUGGGAGGCUUUGAAGCGUGGACGCCAGUCUGCGUGGAGCCAACCUUGAAAUACCACCCUUUAAUGUUUGAUGUUCUAACGUUGGCCCCUGACCGGGGUUGCGGACAGUGUCUGGUGGGUAGUUUGACUGGGGCGGUCUCCUCCCAAAGCGUAACGGAGGAGCACGAAGGUUAGCUAAUCCUGGUCGGACAUCAGGAGGUUAGUGCAAUGGCAUAAGCUAGCUUGACUGCGAGCGUGACGGCGCGAGCAGGUGCGAAAGCAGGUCAUAGUGAUCCGGUGGUUCUGAAUGGAAGGGCCAUCGCUCAACGGAUAAAAGGUACUCCGGGGAUAACAGGCUGAUACCGCCCAAGAGUUCAUAUCGACGGCGGUGUUUGGCACCUCGAUGUCGGCUCAUCACAUCCUGGGGCUGAAGUAGGUCCCAAGGGUAUGGCUGUUCGCCAUUUAAAGUGGUACGCGAGCUGGGUUUAGAACGUCGUGAGACAGUUCGGUCCCUAUCUGCCGUGGGCGCUGGAGAAUUGAGGGGGGCUGCUCCUAGUACGAGAGGACCGGAGUGGACGCAUCACUGGUGUUCGGGUUGUCAUGCCAAUGGCACUGCCCGGUAGCUAAAUGCGGAAGAGAUAAGUGCUGAAAGCAUCUAAGCACGAAACUUGCCCCGAGAUGAGUUCUCCCUGAGACUUUAAGUCUCCUGAAGGAACGUU